RNAcentral lists this ribosomal RNA (427 nucleotides) under uncultured bacterium. Its description in RNAcentral is "bacterial SSU rRNA". It matches the Rfam family "Bacterial small subunit ribosomal RNA", at positions 28 to 505 of the family's 1533-position model. The record is from RNAcentral.
GAUGAACGCUAGCGGGGGGCCUAACACAUGCAAGUCGAGUGAGUUUAGACUCACGGCAAACGGGUGCGUAACACGUGCUUUACUUACCUUGGAGUGGGGGAUAACAUCGGAAACGGUGAUAAUCCCGCAUACGCCCUACGGGGGAAAGAUUUAUCGCUCUAAGAGAGGGGCGCGGCCUAUUAGCUAGUUGGUGAGGUAAUAGCUCACCAAGGCCAUGAUGGGUAGCUGGUCUGAGAGGAUGAUCAGCCACAAUGGAACUGAGACACGGUCCAUACCCCUACGGGGGGCAGCAGUGGGGAAUAUUGCACAAUGGACGAAAGUCUGAUGCAGCCACCCCGCGUGGAGGAUGAAGCAUUAAGGUGUGUAAACUCCUUUUCUGGAGGAAGACGACUGACGGUACUCCAGGAAUAAGCGACGGCUAACUACG